AGAUCUUGUUUUGAGAAAAAUCUGGUUCAUAGUUAUCAUUCUAGAUUCACAUCACGACGUUUCAGUUCUUCUACGACGUUUCUUCAGGCGGUCGACGUUCCUUCUACGGCGUCUGUGAGUAUUUAAGGGUUUCAUUUGCUUGAGAUUUGAAUCUUCUGAUUGUUGAAGCCUUUGAAGCCGAUCCUUUUAAAUUUCCAGUUCCCGAGGUAGUAUAUGUUUGUAACAUCAGUGGUUCAGCAUCUACAGUCGACUCAACAUCUACAGUGGAUUCAACAUCAGGUGUUUGCUAUUAUUGUUUGAUGUUGUUUGCUAAUGUUGUCAAGUAAGGUAAAAAUGGUCAUUCUAAUUAUCUGAAUAUUGCGUAUGAUAUCCUUUUAAUUUUAAUCACCCAACAAGUUUUUUGGUUUGUUUCUUUCAUAUUUCAUUAUGAUUUGUAUGCUUUUAGGGUUUGAUUUUAUAUUGGUCAUCACAUUAAUGGUGAGUACUCAAGAAUAUUGGAUGGUUUACUUAGUUUUAUUUUGGGUAUUUUUGGAUGAUUUCAUCCAUUUCUUUAGAUAGUUCAUGAUUGAAGAUGCAGUUGAAGGGAUCAUUUGAGUGAAAUGAAUGUUGAUUUAUCAGAAGAUGCAGUUGAAGGUAUCUUAAAUAAGGGAUGUAAUGUAAUUAUUCCUCUCAAUCAAAUAGACCGACCCUUGCUUCCUCUCAAAGUGUUAAAUGGUUAUAACAGCUGGUCAUGCUAAGGAUUGUUAUAACUAACCACUGCUCCUUACAAAGACUGAUGGACUUAAAUACUGAUGAGGCCUAUCCACUGUUGAUGACAAAUCCCUGUUAAAGUUGAAUGUGCUAAGGACUGUUAUAACUAACCACUGCUUCUUAUAUAAUCAUCGUUCCAGUAUCAUUGUUCCAACGUCGUCGUUUCAAUGAAGCUUCCCAUCACACAUCAACCUUUCUAUAUCGAUGUUGCAGUAUAAUUGUUGCAACAUCGUGAAAAGUUGCAUGCGCUACCUUCUUUGAUGGGAGAGUUGUAAGUUGAAUGGACGAUAUGUAUCUCUUCUUCUCAAUACUCGGCGUUUGUUCAUAAAGGAUAAGAGAAAACUGAAGCUCUCUCUAACCCAUUUUCAGAAAAAAAUUGUUGAUAUGUAGUUUCCCUUGAUAAUGAUGAUCAUGAUGAUGAUGAUUUUUUUACGGUUUCCAGUAUCAUUGUUCCAACAUCGUUUAAAGUAUGUGUGUUUUGCUACU
Helianthus annuus (common sunflower) is the source of this 1236-nucleotide long non-coding RNA. RefSeq lists it as uncharacterized. Lineage: Eukaryota; Viridiplantae; Streptophyta; Magnoliopsida; Asterales; Asteraceae. The transcript is spliced from 4 exons. The record is from RefSeq and is a predicted model, not a curated record.